Molecule: unclassified non-coding RNA, 1592 nt
Filed under: Bombus terrestris (buff-tailed bumblebee)
Lineage: Eukaryota; Metazoa; Arthropoda; Insecta; Hymenoptera; Apidae
Description: misc RNA ENSBTSG00005038046.1
Source: RNAcentral
AGGCAGAUAUACGAAGAGCAAGGUGAACAAUGGUACAUAAGCAAAAAUGUGAAGACGGUAAUGUGGAUACGGUUGAAGUAGCGUCGAAACACGUGUACGUCCACGGAACAGCGUGCAACUACGUAGUCACGCUAAUGAAGAUACUGAAAGACUGCAAGAGAGGUUCAUGGAGGACUCCUGGAGGGAGGGAAAAUUGGAAGAGGAGGAGUAGACUCGACAGUGGGUGUGCAAAAGAUGGCAAUCUCCGCGCUCAUUGAACGCAGCCUGGAGGUGUUUAAUGAGAACAGCCACCUCGCUACAUGGUACGGUCGACCUAUAUCACCGGCCACAGACGACGUCGUCAACGACGGCAAACGACGACCACGACGACCACGACGAGGAUCGCGACUGUCUGCCAUUGGGAAACCUGUCUACGAAGCUGCAUCUGUGUCUGGCUGACUGGCUGGCCCCGUUUCUCCGACUUUCAACGAUUCCUCAAUGGUUUCGCGAACAAUGGAAAUUCGAAUCCGGCGAGCUGGUCAAACGGUAACAUCGAUGCAUCUCUGAGUAACCCAUCAGCGGCGCACCGCGAGCCACGUCUACCAUCCACGUGACAAUGCAAAAAGGCCAACUUUUCCAUGGAUAAUCCAACGAGCAGACGAUCAGGAAGUUGUCUUGCCAGAAGCUCGUGUACGCGUUCAGGAAGUCAUAAAUCGAGCGUGUUGCAUUAAAUCUCGUCUACGUUGGUCCGCGAGCAGCGUAGUAAAGAGCUUACUGCGCCGUAAACGCGUAAUGCCAUUAAAAGGAUCGCAUUGAAGCGAUGAGGACGGACGAGGAUUCAACUUCUGAUCUACGGGGACGCUCCUCCGGAAGAUCUCCAAGAUGAAGAGGCGGGGGUGGAGGGAAAAAACCGGAUGAAUUCGACACCGACGAGUAAAAAGACGGAGAGAAAGCCGGGAGAGAGAGAGAGAGAGAGAGAGAGAAGAAAGGAUACGUGGGUUUACGGCAAUAAAAACGCCUACAAAGGAUCUUUUCAGAUGAGUAUAGGGAAACAGAGAGCAGAGAAUAAAGAGGAGAGGGCGGAGGAAUGGGAUAGAUGAACGAGAAGAGCAAGGGGUGGGGACUGGAAAAUGACAGCUCCAGCAAUUGCGUGUAAUUGCACCACGUCUUGCACAAAGGAGCCAUAAGCCUCCCCCGGAAGUUUCCUGCGCGACAGGUUGUCCUUCGUGCUAGUCCAAAGAGGAGAAUCUCAUCAGAGAUGCACGUCGACUUGCCACUCUGGUGAUUAGCCUGUAUGCUAGCGUUUAGGGAGCAGGAUUCUGCCUAGACUUCGCGAGAUCGCCUGAUGCCUUUGAAACUUAAUGUAUUGCCUGAGAAAUGACAUCCAGGAAUAUUUCCAAUUGUGCGUCGCGUCAUGUACUGGUAACGAGAACCUCUGUUCAGAAUAUGAACGCUCGCGCGGAUGUGAAUCGAUAGAGAGAUUGAUAACUUCUCAGGGGAACGGUUGUGCAUUGUUACGAAUGUAUUCGCUGUAUCGAUAGAAUAUUAUUUCAGACAGUGUCUGCAGGAACAAAUCAUUUUGUAUUACCAUUCAGAAUAGCUGCAAUGUAUCC